RNAcentral lists this transfer RNA (74 nucleotides) under Thaumarchaeota archaeon CSP1-1. RNAcentral's name for it is "tRNA-Thr". It matches the Rfam family "tRNA". Rfam says of the family: Transfer RNA (tRNA) molecules are approximately 80 nucleotides in length. Their secondary structure includes four short double-helical elements and three loops (D, anti-codon, and T loops). Further hydrogen bonds mediate the characteristic L-shaped molecular structure. tRNAs have two regions of fundamental functional importance: the anti-codon, which is responsible for specific mRNA codon recognition, and the 3' end, to which the tRNAs corresponding amino acid is attached (by aminoacyl-tRNA synthetases). tRNAs cope with the degeneracy of the genetic code in two manners: having more than one tRNA (with a specific anti-codon) for a particular amino acid; and 'wobble' base-pairing, i.e. permitting non-standard base-pairing at the 3rd anti-codon position. Lineage: Archaea; Thermoproteati; Nitrososphaerota. The record is from RNAcentral. RNAcentral also lists the same sequence under 2 other names.
GCUUCGAUAGCUCAGCCUGGUAGAGCGUUACCUUGGUAAGGUAAAGGUCGCGGGUUCAAUUCCCGCUCGGAGCU